Molecule: ribosomal RNA, 1459 nt
Filed under: metagenome
Description: bacterial SSU rRNA
Rfam family: Bacterial small subunit ribosomal RNA
Source: RNAcentral
AGAGUUUGAUCCCGGCUCAGGAUAAACGCUUGCGGUGUGCUUUAUGCAUGCAAGUCGCACGAUUUUGAGUAAUCGGAAUAGUGGCAAACGGGUGAGUAACACGUAAGUAACCUGCCCUUAAGUGGGGAAUAAUCUUUCGAAAGAAAGACUAAUACCGCAUGUGGUCCUUGACCGCAAGGUUAAGGACUAAAGCCGUAAGGUGCUUGAGGAGGGGCUUGCGUCCGAUUAGCUAGUUGGUAGGGUAACGGCCUACCAAGGCAGUGAUCGGUAGCUGGUCUGAGAGGAUGACCAGCCGCACUGGGACUGAGACACGGCCCAGACUCCUACGGGAGGCAGCAGCAAGGAAUAUUGCGCAAUGGGCGAAAGCCUGACGCAGCGACACCGCGUGGGGGAUGAAGGACUUCGGUUUGUAAACCCCUUUUCUUAGGGAAGAAUAAUGACGGUACCUGAGGAAUAAGUCACUGCCAACUACGUGCCAGCAGCAGCGGUAAUACGUAGGUGACGAGCGUUAUCCGGAUUUAUUGGGGCGUAAAGCGCGUGUAGGCGGCCUUUCAAGUCGGAUGUGAAAUCUCCCGGCUUAACUGGGAGGAGUCAUUCGAUACUGUUUGGCUAGAGGGCAACAGAGGGAGGUGGAAUUCCCGGUGUAGUGGUGAAAUGCGUAGAUAUCGGGAGGAACACCAGUGGCGAAAGCGACCUUCUAGGUUGUUCCUGACGCUGAGGCGCGAAAGCGUGGGGAGCGAACACGAUUAGAUACCGUGGUAGUCCACGCCUUAAACUAUGAACACUAGGUAUGGGGGGUAUCGACCCCCUCCGUGCCGAAGCUAACGCGUUAAGUGUUCCGCCUGGGGAGUACGGCCGCAAGGCUAAAACUCAAAGGAAUUGACGGGGGCCCGCACAAGCAGCGGAGCGUGUGGUUUAAUUCGAUGCAACACGAAGAACCUUACCAGGACUUGACAUGACGGAAGUAGUGAACCGAAAGGGGAACGACCUGUUAAGUCAGGAGCCGCCACAGGUGCUGCAUGGUUGUCGUCAGCUCGUGCCGUGAGGUGUUAGGUUAAGUCCUGCAACGAGCGCAACCCUCGUCGCUAGUUGAAUUUUUCUAGCGAGACUGCCCUGCAAAACGGGGAGGAAGGUGGGGAUGACGUCAAAUCAGCACGGCCUUUAUGUUCUGGGCGACACACACGCUACAAUGGGUAGGACAAUAGGUUGCAAUAGAGCGAUCUGGAGCUAAUCCAUAAACCUACCCUCAGUUCGGAUUGCAGGCUGAAACCCGCCUGCAUGAAGCCGGAGUUGCUAGUAACCGUGUAUCAGCAUGGCGCGGUGAAUACGUUCUCGGGCCUUGUACACACCGCCCGUCACGUCAUGAAAGUCGGUAACACUUGAAGUCGAUGGGCUAACCCGCAAGGGAGGCAGUCGCCAAGGGUGGGGCCGGCGAUUGGGACGAAGUCGUAACAAGGUA